RNAcentral lists this ribosomal RNA (297 nucleotides) under Triticum aestivum (bread wheat). Its description in RNAcentral is "partial small subunit ribosomal RNA". Lineage: Eukaryota; Viridiplantae; Streptophyta; Magnoliopsida; Poales; Poaceae. The record is from RNAcentral.
AUGAAUUGCAUUAGUUGGAACUGCCGGGGAGGGAAUUCCCGAACAGUUCGAGAAAUAGCGACAUUGUCUCAGUCGCAUUCCCCCACUUUUAUUUUCCUAUGUGAGACAAGACAAAAAGCAAGUAAGAUGAGGCGAAUUCGGGGCCGGCUGGGCCUUAAAGGUUUUGAAGGGGUAGACAGUAACGGAAUGAGCGGUGGUCUUGCAUUGUACUGGCAUGAAGCUUGUUGUGUGGAGAUCUUGGACAAGGAUGAAAGGUACAUUGAUGCUCGGCCUAGUCAGAUUAACGGAGGGGGGUGA